This is a long non-coding RNA of Ooceraea biroi (clonal raider ant), 129 nucleotides long. RefSeq lists it as uncharacterized. The record is from RefSeq and is a predicted model, not a curated record. Lineage: Eukaryota; Metazoa; Arthropoda; Insecta; Hymenoptera; Formicidae.
ACAAUUGGUCCGUCUCCACUGCUCAGAUGCGGUUGAUGUAUGAUAUGCACGAUUGCAGGCAAGAUAUACUGAAAAUACAAAGUGUUCAGACAGAUGACUGAACAAAAGGGCUUAAAUAAAUCAAAGAAA